This 253-nucleotide ribosomal RNA is filed under the name uncultured bacterium. Its description in RNAcentral is "partial 16S ribosomal RNA". It matches the Rfam family "Bacterial small subunit ribosomal RNA", at positions 524 to 776 of the family's 1533-position model. The record is from RNAcentral.
UACGUAGGGUGCAGGCGUUAAUCGGAAUUACUGGGCGUAAAGCGUGCGCAGGCGGUUUGCUAAGUCAGGGGUGAAAUCCCCGGGCUUAACCUGGGAACUGCGCUUGUAACUGGCAAGCUAGAGUGUGGCAGAGGGGGGUGGAAUUCCACGUGUAGCAGUGAAAUGCGUAGAGAUGUGGAGGAACACCGAUGGCGAAGGCAGCCCCCUGGGCUAACACUGACGCUCAUGCACGAAAGCGUGGGGAGCAAACAGG